UCCUUCCCAUCUAUGUCUCAGGAAGGAUGUGUCUGAGGGAGCACCUGAGGGCAUCCUGGGUCAGGCUCAAGACUUGGGCUUUUCAGUCAGCGCACCCUUUUCUGCCAAGAAUUAGUCAUACCUCAUUGUAUUUUCCAUAGAGCCUAGAUAAAGCAUCUCCUACCUUAUUCUGUGCAUUCACAUCUCAUGUCAUUGCAGCUACAUCAGAAAUGGAAAAAAAGCCCAUCAGUUUGACUCUUGUGCACUGGGCUGUGCUUGUUGUUAUGCCCGUUGCUCAUGAGUUAUUUAUGCUUGCUUGCUGGGUGGUGGGUGUUCUCCAGACCUCCCGGGACUGGCCUUGCUCAAGAGGGCCCACAAGCCCCCCCAGACAAGCACGUGCAGCAGACAGCAAUAGCCAGUAUGCCUUUGUUGUCUCAGUGGUUACAUUUUCAGAGGGUGGCCUGUGCACAUGGAGAGAGGGUGGGCAAGGCUACCUGCUUUGCUGUGGCCUUGGCAACUAGUUAGAAAAUGAGCUAAAAAGGAAAUUUGUGAAGCUAAAAAUGUAGUUCAAGAUGAGAAGGUGCUUUUGCAAGGCCCAUCCGUGUUUUCAAGUCACACUCAGAGUCUUUUCGGAGCUGUGGUAAAAGGAACAAAGCUGAAAAGUAGCAGGGAGAACCACAGGGGAGAACCACAGGGGAUCGAGCAAGCCAUUGUAAAGCGAGCCGUAGCUUUUUGCAGCUCCAGAGCCAUCCGUGGAGCCUGCAGCCUAACCCCUGAAUCCUUACACUGUUAUGACAGGAGUUUGCUGGAAACUCCUUGAAAGAAGUGUAGUAGUCUCUCCUGGGCGACAAAGUCUAGUCCACAGCAGAGCAGAGUGCCAAGAUUCUUCCAAAUAAAAGCUACCAGAGGGCA
This is a long non-coding RNA of Oxyura jamaicensis (ruddy duck), 891 nucleotides long. RefSeq lists it as uncharacterized. The transcript is spliced from 2 exons. NCBI's taxonomy places the organism in Eukaryota, Metazoa, Chordata, Aves, Anseriformes, Anatidae. The record is from RefSeq and is a predicted model, not a curated record.